UGUUUCUCUUCUUUUUAAUUUAGUUUUAGAAUUUUUUGAAUAUAAUGAGAAUGAUUCAGACAGUAGUACCAGUGAAAGUGCUAGUCACACUCACCAGGAGCUUGAGUUACCUAAAGAACCUUUUCAAUUACGACAAGAAAAUUGCUAGUCAUUCACUUGAAGUACCUGAAUUUGAUAUUGGCAGCAGUCACAGACUUAUUGACACAAUAUUAUCAGUUAUUAAAUGAGCUGUUUAUAUUACCAAGAACUGUCCUCUUAAGCAAAUAAAAGAAAUUAGUCAGAGUUCAACACUGUAUAAUAUUGGGUGUGGUCGAUGUAAUAAGCCCAUCCCACCUGCUAAUAUAAUGUGUCAGAAAUGUGAGAGUAGACUUAAUAUCUGCUCUGUGUGGUAUAUGAUACACAGACAGCUCAGCAGCGUACUAAAGAAUCAUACUCAGUCAAUGCACUUUAUUCUGUAGCUAGAGUUAGGUGGAGACCACAGAACAGGAAUCACUU
Long non-coding RNA from Amphimedon queenslandica, 495 nucleotides. RefSeq lists it as uncharacterized. NCBI's taxonomy places the organism in Eukaryota, Metazoa, Porifera, Demospongiae, Haplosclerida, Niphatidae. The record is from RefSeq and is a predicted model, not a curated record. The transcript has 5 exons.